UACGUAGGGGGCUAGCGUUGUCCGGAAUCAUUGGGCGUAAAGCGCGUGUAGGCGGUUCGGUAAGUCCGCUGUGAAAGUCGGGGGGCUCGACCCUCGGAUGCCGGUGGAUACUGUCGGGCUUGAGUACGGAAGAGGCGAGUGGAAUUCCUGUGUAGCGGUGAAAUGCGCAGAUAUCAGGAGGAACACCAAUUGCGAAGGCAGCUCGCUGGGACGUUACUGACGCUGAGACGCGAAAGCGUGGGGAGCAAACAGG
This 253-nucleotide ribosomal RNA is filed under the name uncultured bacterium. RNAcentral describes it as "partial 16S ribosomal RNA". It matches the Rfam family "Bacterial small subunit ribosomal RNA", at positions 524 to 776 of the family's 1533-position model. The record is from RNAcentral.